GACGAACGCUGGCGGCGUGCCUAAUGCAUGCAAGUCGCACGGAGAGCCUUCGGGCUCUGAGUGGCGCACGGCUGAGGAACACGUGGGAAUCUGCCCGACCGUGGGGGAUAACGCGCCGAAAGGCGUGCUAAUCCCGCAUACGCUCGCAAGAGGAAAGCAGCAAUGCGCGGUCGGAGGAGCCUGCGGCCCAUCAGGUAGUUGGCGGGGUAACGGCCCACCAAGCCACUGACGGGUAGCUGGUCUGUGAGGACAACCAGCCAGACUGGGACUGAGACACGGCCCAGACUCCUACGGGAGCAGCAGCAAGGAAUUUUCGUCAAUGGGCGCAAGCCUGAACGAGCAACGCCGCGUGGAGGAUGACGGCCU
RNAcentral lists this ribosomal RNA (366 nucleotides) under uncultured bacterium. Its description in RNAcentral is "bacterial SSU rRNA". It matches the Rfam family "Bacterial small subunit ribosomal RNA", at positions 28 to 417 of the family's 1533-position model. The record is from RNAcentral.